GGGUAGUUUGACUGGGGCGGUCUCCUCCUAAAGAGUAACGGAGGAGCACGAAGGUCAGCUAAUCCUGGUCGGACAUCAGGAGGUUAGUGCAAUGGCAUAAGCUGGCUUGACUGCGAGCGUGACGGCGCGAGCAGGUGCGAAAGCAGGUCAUAGUGAUCCGGUGGUUCUGAAUGGAAGGGCCAUCGCUCAACGGAUAAAAGGUACUCCGGGGAUAACAGGCUGAUACCGCCCAAGAGUUCAUAUCGACGGCGGUGUUUGGCACCUCGAUGUCGGCUCAUCACAUCCUGGGGCUGAAGUAGGUCCCAAGGGUAUGGCUGUUCGCCAUUUAAAGUGGUACGCGAGCUGGGUUUAGAACGUCGUGAGACAGUUCGGUCCCUAUCUGCCGUGGGCGCUGGAGAAUUGAGGGGGGCUGCUCCUAGUACGAGAGGACCGGAGUGGACGCAUCACUGGUGUUCGGGUUGUCAUGCCAAUGGCAUUGCCCGGUAGCUAAAUGCGGAAGAGAUAAGUGCUGAAAGCAUCUAAGCACGAAACUUGCCCCGAGAUGAGUUCUCCCUGACUCCUUGAGAGUCCUGAAGGAACG
This 580-nucleotide ribosomal RNA is filed under the name Klebsiella michiganensis. RNAcentral describes it as "partial 23S ribosomal RNA". It matches the Rfam family "Bacterial large subunit ribosomal RNA", at positions 2263 to 2837 of the family's 2925-position model. The record is from RNAcentral. Lineage: Bacteria; Pseudomonadati; Pseudomonadota; Gammaproteobacteria; Enterobacterales; Enterobacteriaceae.